Molecule: ribosomal RNA, 468 nt
Filed under: uncultured bacterium
Lineage: Bacteria
Description: partial 16S ribosomal RNA
Rfam family: Bacterial small subunit ribosomal RNA
Source: RNAcentral
GCCCCCCCCUUUCUUCGUGCUUAACACAUGCAAGUCGAACGGAAAGGCCCUGCUUUUGUGGGGUGCUCGAGUGGCGAACGGGUGAGUAACACGUGAGUAACCUGCCCUUGACUUUGGGAUAACUUCAGGAAACUGGGGCUAAUACCGGAUAGGAGCUCCUGCUGCAUGGUGGGGGUUGGAAAGUUUCGGCGGUUGGGGAUGGACUCGCGGCUUAUCAGCUUGUUGGUGGGGUAGUGGCUUACCAAGGCUUUGACGGGUAGCCGGCCUGAGAGGGUGACCGGCCACAUUGGGACUGAGAUACGGCCCAGACUCCUACGGGAGGCAGCAGUGGGGAAUAUUGCACAAUGGGCGGAAGCCUGAUGCAGCAACGCCGCGUGCGGGAUGACGGCCUUCGGGUUGUAAACCGCUUUCGCCUGUGACGAAGCGUGAGUGACGGUAAUGGGUAAAGAAGCACCGGCUAACUACGUG